This 786-nucleotide ribosomal RNA is filed under the name uncultured Gammaproteobacteria bacterium. Its description in RNAcentral is "bacterial SSU rRNA". It matches the Rfam family "Bacterial small subunit ribosomal RNA", at positions 84 to 864 of the family's 1533-position model. The record is from RNAcentral. Lineage: Bacteria; Pseudomonadati; Pseudomonadota; Gammaproteobacteria.
GAUGCUGACGAGUGGCGAACGGGUGGGUAACGCGUAGGAAUCUACCCAGUAGCGGGGGAUAGCCCGAGGAAACUCGGAUUAAUACCGCAUACGCCUUAAGAGGGAAAGAGGGCCUCUUCUUGAAAGCUCUCACUAUUGGAGGAGCCUGCGUUGGAUUAGCUAGUUGGUGGGGUAAAGGCUCACCAAGGCGACGAUCCAUAGCUGGUCUGAGAGGACGAUCAGCCACACUGGAACUGAGACACGAUCCAGACUCCUACGGGAGGCAGCAGUAGGGAAUAUUGCACAAUGGGGGAAACCCUGAUGCAGCCAUGCCGCGUGUGUGAAGAAGGCCUUAGGGUUGUAAAGCACUUUCAGUAGGGAGGAAUUAGUAUAGUUAAUAGCUAUGCGGAAUGACGUUACCUACAGAAGAAGUACCGGCUAACUCCGUGCCAGCAGCCGCGGUAAUACGGAGGGUACGAACGUUAAUCGGAAUUACUGGGCGUAAAGCGCGCGUAGGCGGUUUAUUAAGUGGGAUGUGAAAGCCCCGGGCUUAACCUGGGAACCGCAUUCCAAACUGAUAGACUAGAGUACGAUAGAGGGGGGUAGAAUUCAGAGUGUAGCGGUGAAAUGCGUAGAUAUUCUGAGGAAUACCGGUGGCGAAGGCGGCCCCCUGGAUUGAUACUGACGCUGAGGUGCGAAAGCGUGGGGAGCAAACAGGAUUAGAUACCCCGGUAGUCCACGCCGUAAACGAUGUCUAGCUAGCCGUUGGGAGGCUUGACCUUUUAGUGGCGCAGCUAACGCGAUAAG